RNAcentral lists this transfer RNA (73 nucleotides) under Rattus norvegicus (Norway rat). It matches the Rfam family "tRNA". Rfam says of the family: Transfer RNA (tRNA) molecules are approximately 80 nucleotides in length. Their secondary structure includes four short double-helical elements and three loops (D, anti-codon, and T loops). Further hydrogen bonds mediate the characteristic L-shaped molecular structure. tRNAs have two regions of fundamental functional importance: the anti-codon, which is responsible for specific mRNA codon recognition, and the 3' end, to which the tRNAs corresponding amino acid is attached (by aminoacyl-tRNA synthetases). tRNAs cope with the degeneracy of the genetic code in two manners: having more than one tRNA (with a specific anti-codon) for a particular amino acid; and 'wobble' base-pairing, i.e. permitting non-standard base-pairing at the 3rd anti-codon position. Lineage: Eukaryota; Metazoa; Chordata; Mammalia; Rodentia; Muridae. The record is from Rfam by way of RNAcentral.
GGGAGUGUAGUUCAGUGGGUAGAGCACUUGUCUGGCCUGCAUGAAACCCUGGGUUCCAUCCCCAGUACAGCUA